This 603-nucleotide long non-coding RNA is filed under the name Sorghum bicolor (sorghum). RNAcentral's name for it is "long non-coding RNA (SBIC_LNC009628)". The record is from RNAcentral. Lineage: Eukaryota; Viridiplantae; Streptophyta; Magnoliopsida; Poales; Poaceae.
GGCUGGUUUCAUAUGAAGAAGUUAUGAUUUUUUUUUUUUAAAACAACUAUCACUUCCCGUUGAAGCCACGCCUACCAUUGCCACUUGAAGCCAUGAAUCAGCAAUGAUACUCUCAUUGCUAGUUCCAAAACACCUACAGUCACGAGCCGACACUGAAUUGAUAUUAGUCUACUGUGAUAAUUGAUGUUUUCAGGUGUCCCAUUAGAGGCAUAUAAUUUGCCAACCACUAAGCGUCUGCUGGAUGAGAUCCUAGAUCGGUGAAGAUUUGUUGGAGUUUUUUUUAGUUGGUACCGCUGCCCUCUUCUGGGAUUUGUUGGGCUUUUUCUCAUUAUUUUGUAACUGUGGUGUCAGUUUCUUGGCCUGCAGCUGCUCAACAGAUGUGAGGGCAAUUGCCAGGGCAUGUAGCCGUGAGCCGCGUAGCUCAGCCGAUGUGAGCGGGCAACAAGGCAUGGAGUUUUUCCUGUCGGUUUUCGGUUCUAUAAAAACCGUCAGGAAUUUUCUCUGCAUGUGGGUGAGCGGCAGGUAGGUGCAGAUGAAAACGAUGUCUCACCUCCAAUGCAGAACGAGUCAUUUCUUCGUCCUUGUCGAUCUCAUUAUCAGGGG